UACGGGGGGGGCAAGCGUUGUUCGGAAUUACUGGGCGUAAGGGCUCGUAGGCGGCCAACUAAGUCAGACGUGAAAUCCCUCGGCUUAACCGGGGAACUGCGUCUGAUACUGGAUGGCUAGAGGUUGGGAGAGGGAUGCGGAAUUCCAGGUGUAGCGGUGAAAUGCGUAGAUAUCUGGAGGAACACCGGUGGCGAAGGCGGCAUCCUGGACCAAUUCUGACGCUGAGGAGCGAAAGCCAGGGGAGCAAACGGG
Molecule: ribosomal RNA, 252 nt
Filed under: uncultured bacterium
Lineage: Bacteria
Description: partial 16S ribosomal RNA
Rfam family: Bacterial small subunit ribosomal RNA
Source: RNAcentral